GACGAACGCUGGCGGCGUGCUUAACACACGCAAGUCGAACGGAAAGGCCCUGCUUUUGUGGGCUGCUCGAGUGGCGAACGGGUGAGUAACAAGUGAGUAACCUGCCCUUGACUUUGGGAUAACUUCAGGAAACUGGGGCUAAUACCGGAUAGGAGCUCCUGCUGCCUGGUGGGGGUUGGAAAGUUUCGGCGGUUGGGGAUGGACUCGCGGCUUAUCAGCUUGUUGGUGGGGUAGUGGCUUACCAAGGCUGUGACGGGUAGCCGGCCUGAGAGGGUGACCGGCCACAUUGGGACUGAGAUACGGCCCAGACUCCUACGGGAGGCAGCAGUGGGGAAUAUUGCACAAUGGGCGGAAGCCUGAUGCAGCAACGCCGCGUGCGGGAUGACGGCCUUCGGGUUGUAAACCGCUUUCGCCUGUGACGAAGCGUGAGUGACGGUAAUGGGUAAAGAAGCACCGGCUAACUACGUG
RNAcentral lists this ribosomal RNA (468 nucleotides) under uncultured bacterium. Its description in RNAcentral is "partial 16S ribosomal RNA". It matches the Rfam family "Bacterial small subunit ribosomal RNA", at positions 28 to 507 of the family's 1533-position model. The record is from RNAcentral.